CUCAUAUUCCAGAUCCUGCCCAGUUUACAGCUGCAACACAGGACUGUUACAGCGACCUCCACACCACCCUCUUCCAGAGCUCCUUCAGAAGACUAACGAUAUGGCACAAGAUGAUUGGCAACAAGAGACACCCAGUGAUGAGCUCUCCUGAAUUGUCCCAUCUGUCC
This is a long non-coding RNA of Alosa alosa (allis shad), 167 nucleotides long. RefSeq lists it as uncharacterized. The transcript is spliced from 4 exons. Lineage: Eukaryota; Metazoa; Chordata; Actinopteri; Clupeiformes; Clupeidae. The record is from RefSeq and is a predicted model, not a curated record.